This 340-nucleotide long non-coding RNA is filed under the name Pan troglodytes (chimpanzee). RNAcentral's name for it is "long non-coding RNA NONPTRT013423". The record is from RNAcentral. Lineage: Eukaryota; Metazoa; Chordata; Mammalia; Primates; Hominidae.
CCAGGCUGGAGUGCAAUGGCACCAUCUCGGCUCACUGCAAGCUCCGCCUCCCGGGUUCACGCCAUUCUCCUGCCUCAGCCUCCCGAGUAGCUGGGACUACAGGCGUCCGCCACCACGCCCGGCUAAUUUUUUUGUAUUUUUAGUAGAGACGGGGUUUCACCGUAUUAACCAGGAUGGUCUCGAUCUCCUGACUUCGUGAUCCACCCGCCUCAACCUCCCAAAGUGCUGGGAUUACAGGCGUGAGCCACCGUGCCAGGCCUUAAGUGAUUAAAAUAUAUUAAAAGGGAAAAUGAAUUCAAACUGAAUGCAGCAUGAAUUCUAAAUGCUAAAAUGAAAACAC